CUCCCGCUGCUCUUCUAAAAGGUGACCGGUGCAGAAGGGCGCGGCCUCUGCGUGUGUUGGGGGAGAGGAUUGAGAUCUGGCCAUGCCUUAAUCACGACCGGAUUCGCUUGUGCACAGUGCGGAACUGCAAAGGAAGAAAUGGAGGGGGCUAGGGACGAAGGCCGCUUGCAGCCUCUGCAGAGAGGUGGGCGUGGUUACCACCAUGGCCCCGCCCCGUUUAGGCAGCGACUCCAAGCUAGAGAGCCGAACCUCUCUGCAUAACUAUCCACCGCGCUCUACCUGGACAGUGUCAGGGUUUUCUGCAAGCUCCUGUACUCCUGAAAGCCCUCGCUGCUUCGAAGAUCCAUUCUGCUCGGCGUGGAUUUGAGGACUGACUACACCAAGAAUGCUGGCCCUCGAGCUUCCCGGAAUUCUUUCUUCACCUUUCAUCUCUGAACCUCUCCAUGGUGAUCAACCUUCACUAUCCCUCUGAUGCGGCCUAGGAUGACCUGGGAGUGGGCUUCUGCCCUGGCUGGUGGAGAAUUAUCUUGACUAAGUGCAGGGCAGCCCGGAAUGGAGCUGACCAGCACAGCAGAAGCCAGGAAGCGACUUCCCCUCCUUGCCCGCAUUCUUCGCUUCCUUUCGCUGGAACCUUCGCACCAGGCCUGGCCAGAG
This is a long non-coding RNA of Mus musculus (house mouse), 654 nucleotides long. RefSeq annotates it as RIKEN cDNA 4933423K11 gene. The transcript has 4 exons. NCBI's taxonomy places the organism in Eukaryota, Metazoa, Chordata, Mammalia, Rodentia, Muridae. The record is from RefSeq and is a predicted model, not a curated record.